Molecule: long non-coding RNA, 203 nt
Filed under: Helianthus annuus (common sunflower)
Lineage: Eukaryota; Viridiplantae; Streptophyta; Magnoliopsida; Asterales; Asteraceae
Description: sRNA HanXRQr2_Chr04g0161711
Source: RNAcentral
UUGGACCCAAAUGAUCUAGUUGGUGGUACAGAGAUUGGACCAGAAUGGUGUGAGGUAAACGUUCAAGUACCAAUAAAAAAGAUGAAAACUUGGUAAGACCAUAUGGUUUAUUUUCUACAAUUCAAGAUUGUAUUGGUGCAUCCAUCGCAUGGCCCUAUCCAUUCAUCUCGGUAGUCCAUGAGGAUUGAGGACGCAUGAUGACU